Selaginella moellendorffii is the source of this 963-nucleotide long non-coding RNA. RefSeq lists it as uncharacterized. The record is from RefSeq and is a predicted model, not a curated record. The transcript is spliced from 5 exons. Lineage: Eukaryota; Viridiplantae; Streptophyta; Lycopodiopsida; Selaginellales; Selaginellaceae.
CUUUAGCAGGUUUUUGUGAUGCAGCCGUCCCAACGUCUCAACUUCCACUGCGAAUGACAUCUCGUUGGUGGUGUUCAUCACUUUGAGCCUCUUGACGGCGAUCUGGAAACAUGAGAUUUGUCCCCAAGCUGGCCGUAGAAGACGCUCCCAAAGCCCCCCUCGCCGAGCUUAUUCUCAUAGCUGAAGUUGUUCGUGGCGAAUUGCAGCUCCUUCAAGCUAAAAAUCUUCCACGUCCUUGCGCUCUCGUCGUCGUCCCUGAGACAGCGUAGCAGCAUCCGGAGCUCAGCCUUUUGGUUACCCAAGACAUAUUCAUUCGCAACUUCAUCACUCGCUUGCAACGACUGAUGCUGAUGAUCAUCUCCAUCGUCUCCUCGCCGUCAUCACCAUCGCAACAGAAGGUGAGAGCCAAGUCAAUACAGCGCUUUGUGCAUAGUGCAACAUACGAAGGGCCACAGCUGGCCGGGUGCUACACAAGGAACAGUCGAGCGAACGCUAUGAGCUCUACCACCAUUAAAUUAAUCGGAUACUUCCAAGGAACAGUAUUCUCUCUUCUUUUCUGGCCAAGGAUGUGCAUAAAACAUCCAGGGGGGGCUCGUCGCUGGAUCAGCGAAAGAAAUAUAGAGCGCGGAGAAGACUUUUGGCAAUUUAGCGGCUCUUAGACGAUCUUAACAGGAUCGAACGCGUCCUUCCUUUCCUCGACCCAGGGAUCUCGCAGGUACGCAGUGGCAAAGUUGCAAUCUAGACAAUCUAGAAGACAAGACUCUCUUCGUCGAGUUUCUUCCUUGCAAGUUGGUUAAAGCUACUUGAUCCUCUGCGGUGAUGGGUUUGGUGUUCUCUUCUCUCAAGGUGGAAGAAAACAAGUAAAGCUAAAACAAAAGACUUAAAAAAAGAUGAGUUAUUAGAACAAUUUCUCUACAAAUAUUCAAUACACAUAACCAGAAAAAAAUAUUUCAUUCGCCCUCA